AGAGUUGCCAGUAACGGACAUGGCUGCGGCCCCCGGAGGAGGGGACGUGAAGUGAGGAGGGGGUUGGGAGGGGAGAGGACGCGGGCGAGGAAGACCAGCCCCGGGGCCCCGAUGUUGUGACUGUGACAGACUCACUGGGGUUUGUACAUGCUGGGGAGGAGCCUUCCUUUCAGGGGCGACCACAUUCAUCUGGGCAUGCCUGCAGUACUCUUGGCCCAUGGACCUGAAGGAGAAGCACCUGAUGGUGCCUGGACAUGGCCCUGUCCCGACCAGUCACUGCCCUGGACAAUGAGCGGUUCACAGUGCAGUCGGUGAUGCUACACUAUGCUGUGCCCGUGGUCCUGGCCGGCUUCCUCAUCACCAAUGCCCUGCGCUUCAUCUUCAGUGCCCCGGGGGUCACUUCCUGGCAGUACACCCUCCUCCAGCUCCA
Molecule: small RNA, 430 nt
Filed under: Pan troglodytes (chimpanzee)
Lineage: Eukaryota; Metazoa; Chordata; Mammalia; Primates; Hominidae
Description: processed transcript
Source: RNAcentral